ACAUCAGUAGCACAGUGGUUAGCGCAGUCUGCCGGAAACACGCGGGUUCAAUUCCCGUCCGAUGUC
Molecule: transfer RNA, 66 nt
Filed under: Nippostrongylus brasiliensis
Lineage: Eukaryota; Metazoa; Nematoda; Chromadorea; Rhabditida; Heligmosomidae
Rfam family: tRNA
About the family: Transfer RNA (tRNA) molecules are approximately 80 nucleotides in length. Their secondary structure includes four short double-helical elements and three loops (D, anti-codon, and T loops). Further hydrogen bonds mediate the characteristic L-shaped molecular structure. tRNAs have two regions of fundamental functional importance: the anti-codon, which is responsible for specific mRNA codon recognition, and the 3' end, to which the tRNAs corresponding amino acid is attached (by aminoacyl-tRNA synthetases). tRNAs cope with the degeneracy of the genetic code in two manners: having more than one tRNA (with a specific anti-codon) for a particular amino acid; and 'wobble' base-pairing, i.e. permitting non-standard base-pairing at the 3rd anti-codon position.
Source: Rfam by way of RNAcentral